GUGGGGAAUAUUGGACAAUGGGCGAAAGCCUGAUCCAGCCAUGCCGCGUGUGUGAAGAAGGUCUUCGGAUUGUAAAGCACUUUAAGUUGGGAGGAAGGGCAGUAAGUUAAUACCUUGCUGUUUUGACGUUACCGACAGAAUAAGCACCGGCUAACUUCGUGCCAGCAGCCGCGGUAAUACGAAGGGUGCAAGCGUUAAUCGGAAUUACUGGGCGUAAAGCGCGCGUAGGUGGUUUUGUACGUUGGAGGUGAAAUCCCCGGGCUCAACCUGGGAACUGCCUCCAAAACUGCAUGACUAGAGUACGGUAGAGGGUAGUGGAAUUUCCUGUGUAGCGGUGAAAUGCGUAGAUAUAGGAAGGAACACCAGUGGCGAAGGCGACUACCUGGACUGAUACUGACACUGAGGUGCGAAAGCGUGGGGAGCAAACAGGAUUAGAUACCCGUGUAGUCC
This 450-nucleotide ribosomal RNA is filed under the name uncultured bacterium. RNAcentral's name for it is "partial 16S ribosomal RNA". It matches the Rfam family "Bacterial small subunit ribosomal RNA", at positions 354 to 796 of the family's 1533-position model. The record is from RNAcentral.